UACAUAAGGAGCAAGCGUUGUCCGGAAUUAUUGGGCGUAAAGCGCUCGUAGGCGGUCCUGAAAGUCAGCUGUGAAAUCACCAGGCUUAACCUGGUAGGGUCAGCUGAAACUUCAGGACUUGAGGGUAGAAGAGGAAAGCGGAAUUCCAUGUGUAGCGGUGAAAUGCGUAGAGAUCAGGAGGAAUACCGAAGGCGAAGGCAGUCUUCCAAGCCGUUAUUGACGCUCAACUGCGAAGGUGUGGGUAUCAAACAGGAUUAGAUACCCGUGUA
Molecule: ribosomal RNA, 269 nt
Filed under: uncultured prokaryote
Description: partial 16S ribosomal RNA
Rfam family: Bacterial small subunit ribosomal RNA
Source: RNAcentral